AUAAUUUAAAUAUUUUAUUGUUAAUGUUGAUUAAAUGUUGUGUUGUAAUAAAUUAUUUGUUGAUUUGGCUUUAGUUAUUAUAUAAAUUAUUAUUAGGUUUAUACAUGUUAGGUUUAUAAGUAAAUCGUUUUAUCUUUAUUAUUAUUAGUUAUGGGGUUUAAUAUAACAUAAUUAUUAAUAUAUUUUGUUAAUUUAUAGUUAAGAUAAAUUUUAAAGAUUACGCAGUAUUUAUUAUUAUACAAUAAAUGAAAGUUUGAUAUAGUUAUUAUAAAUAAAAGUGGAUAAAUGUUGUGCCAGCAUCCGCGGUUAUACAAAUGCUUUAGAUUUAUAUUAAUACAGUACAAAAUAAAGUAAUAAUUAAAAUAAUUAGAAUAAUAUUGAGAAUAGUGAUUUUGAGUAAAAUCAAAAUAUUACUAUGAUUAAUUUAAUUUUUCUAUAUUUAAUACUUUGAAAAUAUGUUAAUUAAAACUAGGAUUAGAUACCCUACUAUUCAUUAAAUUAAAUUUUUUUUUUGCUUAAGUAGUAUUAUAUAUUAUUAUAAAUAUUUAUUAAUAUUGAAACUUAAAAAGCUUGGCGGUACUAUAUAUCCAUUUAGGGGAGCUUGUUUAUUAAUUUGAUAAUCCUCAAUUUACACUUACUUUUUCUUGAAAUAAUUCAGUUUGUGUAUUGCUGUCGUCAGUUUAUUUUGUAAAAUUAUAAAGAACAUGAUAGUAAAAUUUACUUGUAAGUCAAGUCAAAAUACAGCUAAUGUGAAAGGUUUAAAAAUGAGCUACAAUUUAUAAUAUUUAAUUGGAUUAAAUUAUGUAAAAAUUUAUGAAUUUGGACUUAAUAGUAAUGUGUUAUUAGUGUGUUUACAUGAAUUAGGUUUUAUAGUACGUACAUAUCGCCCGUCGCUCUUGUUGGUAAAAUAAGAUAAGUCGUAACAUAGUAGGGGUAGUGGAAGCUGUUCCUGGAAUUAA
Molecule: non-coding RNA, 959 nt
Filed under: Ascarosepion mestus
Lineage: Eukaryota; Metazoa; Mollusca; Cephalopoda; Sepiida; Sepiidae
Description: 12S ribosomal RNA
Rfam family: Microsporidia small subunit ribosomal RNA (bases 540-952)
Source: RNAcentral